This 165-nucleotide ribosomal RNA is filed under the name Buergersiochloa bambusoides. RNAcentral's name for it is "5.8S ribosomal RNA". The record is from RNAcentral. Lineage: Eukaryota; Viridiplantae; Streptophyta; Magnoliopsida; Poales; Poaceae.
ACGCCUGCCUGGGCGUCACGCCAAAAGACGCUCCCAGCCCCCCCUCCUCCCUGGCGGGGGUGGCGAGGACGCGGCGUGUGGCUCCCCGCGCCGCAGGGCGCGGCGGGCCGAAGUUGGGGGCACCGGCGUACGGCGCGCCGGGCGCAGCACAAGGUGGGCGAUACC